This 275-nucleotide ribosomal RNA is filed under the name uncultured prokaryote. Its description in RNAcentral is "partial 16S ribosomal RNA". It matches the Rfam family "Bacterial small subunit ribosomal RNA", at positions 524 to 798 of the family's 1533-position model. The record is from RNAcentral.
UACGGAGGAUCCGAGCGUUAUCCGGAUUUAUUGGGUUUAAAGGGUGCGCAGGCGGUCUGGUAAGUUAUAGGUGAAAUCCCGCAGCUCAACUGUAAAAGUGCCUUCGAAACUGGUUUCCUUGAGUGUAGAUGAAGUAGGCGGAAUUUGUGGUGUAGCGGUGAAAUGCAUAGAUAUCACGAGGAACUCCGAUUGCGCAGGCAGCUUACUAAACUACUACUGACGCUCAGGCACGAAGGCGUGGGGAUCAAACAGGAUUAGAUACCCCGGUAGUCCCU